ACUCCUACGGGAGGCAGCAGUGGGGAAUCUUGCGCAAUGGGCGAAAGCCUGACGCAGCCAUGCCGCGUGUAUGAUGAAGGUCUUAGGAUUGUAAAAUACUUUCACCGGGGAAGAUAAUGACGGUACCCGGAG
RNAcentral lists this ribosomal RNA (132 nucleotides) under uncultured Alphaproteobacteria bacterium. Its description in RNAcentral is "partial 16S ribosomal RNA". It matches the Rfam family "Bacterial small subunit ribosomal RNA", at positions 335 to 484 of the family's 1533-position model. Lineage: Bacteria; Pseudomonadati; Pseudomonadota; Alphaproteobacteria. The record is from RNAcentral.